UACGAAGGGGGCUAGCGUUGCUCGGAAUCUCUGGGCGUAAAGGGUGCGUAGGCGGGUCUUUAAGUCAGGGGUGAAAUCCUGGAGCUCAACUCCAGAACUGCCUUUGAUACUGAAGAUCUUGAGUUCGGGAGAGGUGAGUGGAACUGCGAGUGUAGAGGUGAAAUUCGUAGAUAUUCGCAAGAACACCAGUGGCGAAGGCGGCUCACUGGCCCGAUACUGACGCUGAGGCACGAAAGCGUGGGGAGCAAACAGG
Molecule: ribosomal RNA, 253 nt
Filed under: uncultured bacterium
Lineage: Bacteria
Description: partial 16S ribosomal RNA
Rfam family: Bacterial small subunit ribosomal RNA
Source: RNAcentral